RNAcentral lists this small RNA (377 nucleotides) under Histoplasma ohiense. RNAcentral describes it as "hypothetical lncRNA". Lineage: Eukaryota; Fungi; Ascomycota; Eurotiomycetes; Onygenales; Ajellomycetaceae. The record is from RNAcentral.
AGGUCCUGGGAUCUUCCUGCGCCUGAGAUGCAGGAAGCGUUCUAUAUCUUUCUAAAGGGCCUCGAGGUACUUUUUGGGGACCUUUCCAUGGCACAGAAUGUACAUGUGCGAAAUGACGUAGGUCCGCUAUUUUGAAGGCUCAAAUCAUUUUUGAUGCUAAAAUAGGAUCAGAGAGAGGCAUUAGCCUUGUAAAUGAUCAGUAUUGUUAUUGAAGACAAGGUUAAAAAUAUUAGAGCACCAGUAACUUCGAUUAGGAAGAGAGACAGAUAUCUUGGUUCAUCUCAUGGCUAACUACUAGUACAAUGGAAAGAAUUGGAAAAUAACUUGAAUAUCGACAUUUGAAACCGAGUUCAUAUACUAAACUGAGAAUGACAAGC